This 68-nucleotide transfer RNA is filed under the name Blasticotoma sp. 'tegularis'. RNAcentral's name for it is "tRNA-Leu". Lineage: Eukaryota; Metazoa; Arthropoda; Insecta; Hymenoptera; Blasticotomidae. The record is from RNAcentral.
UCUAAUAUGGCAGAAAUAUGCCUUGGAUUUAAGCCCCAAUCAUGAUUUAUUAACUAAUUCUAUUAGAA